RNAcentral lists this ribosomal RNA (312 nucleotides) under Triticum aestivum (bread wheat). Its description in RNAcentral is "partial small subunit ribosomal RNA". Lineage: Eukaryota; Viridiplantae; Streptophyta; Magnoliopsida; Poales; Poaceae. The record is from RNAcentral.
AUGGCACUCCCCUACCACAGGAUAGUUGAAACAGUAUCGACGCCGGCCUUGGUCCAUCCGAAGGAAGGGAGAAGGAAAAAAAAAGGUAGGAAAUCGUUGGGUUCCAGAGCAUCCAGGCAAAGCAACCGGCUGGAGGAGCAGGCGGGGAGGGAGAGGAAGAAAUCAAUCAGGAAGAGACCCGGACCUCCCUUCCAUGGCGCCUCAAUCACAGGAGGCGACAAUCCAAGGUCGAUCAACAUCAAAACGAAAAGAGAGGAGAGACUUAAUCGAAUAAUCCGUUUGAUCGAUCGCCUUCUCCUCCCUCGUGGAUGA